UGCUCUAAACGCUGACCGGAAACUCCCGAGCCGUACUGCGUAGAAAGCGGAAGUAGUUGUGCAAGUAGUUCAAUGUGUGGAUUUUUCGCAUCGGAUUCGAGUUUGCUGAAGUUGAACAGGUGAAUAUUUGAAUCUGCUAGUGUUGUAAGUGACUCUCGAGCAUCUCUGUCGGGGAAGUUAAACGCAAAGAUUUAGUGGAAUCCCAUUCCCAUUGGAUGUGUACAUGCCAGUGCAGCAGCUCAGGUAUUGGUAUCAGCCGAAGGCCGUAUGUUCUUCAGAAGGAGCCGCGGGUUCGAGUCCUCGUCCUCCUGAAGAUCUCAGCUCUCGUGGAGGAACGGCUCGAGCGGGGCAUCUGCAUCCGUCAGCUCUCCGGACCUCCAGCCGCUGCCAGGGACACAAGAAACACUUUAAUAUAGAUACAAACCCAC
This is a long non-coding RNA of Sinocyclocheilus grahami, 428 nucleotides long. RefSeq lists it as uncharacterized. The record is from RefSeq and is a predicted model, not a curated record. The transcript has 3 exons. Lineage: Eukaryota; Metazoa; Chordata; Actinopteri; Cypriniformes; Cyprinidae.